This 495-nucleotide ribosomal RNA is filed under the name uncultured bacterium. Its description in RNAcentral is "partial 16S ribosomal RNA". It matches the Rfam family "Bacterial small subunit ribosomal RNA", at positions 28 to 507 of the family's 1533-position model. The record is from RNAcentral.
GAUGAACGCUGGCGGCGUGCCUAAUACAUGCAAGUAGAACGCUGAAGGAGGAGCUUGCUCUUCUGGAUGAGUUGCGAACGGGUGAGUAACGCGUAGGUAGCCUGCCUGGUAGCGGGGGAUAACUAUUGGAAACGAUAGCUAAUACCGCAUGACAACAGUUAUUGCAUGAUAACUGUUUAAAAGGGGCAACUGCUCCACUACCAGAUGGACCUGCGUUGUAUUAGCUAGUUGGUGAGGUAACGGCUCACCAAGGCGACGAUACAUAGCCGACCUGAGAGGGUGAUCGGCCACACUGGGACUGAGACACGGCCCAGACUCCUACGGGAGGCAGCAGCAGGGAAUCUUCGGCAAUGGACGGAAGUCUGACCGAGCAACGCCGCGUGAGUGAAGAAGGUUUUCGGAUCGUAAAGCUCUGUUGUAAGAGAAGAACGAGUGUGAGAGUGGAAAGUUCACACUGUGACGGUAUCUUACCAGAAAGAGACGGCUAACUACGUG